This 45-nucleotide non-coding RNA is filed under the name Trichobilharzia regenti. The record is from RNAcentral. Lineage: Eukaryota; Metazoa; Platyhelminthes; Trematoda; Strigeidida; Schistosomatidae.
AUCUGGACAACGAGUCCCGAAUAGGACGAAAUGUACAUCCUGGAU